RNAcentral lists this ribosomal RNA (236 nucleotides) under uncultured bacterium. RNAcentral describes it as "partial 16S ribosomal RNA". It matches the Rfam family "Bacterial small subunit ribosomal RNA", at positions 100 to 334 of the family's 1533-position model. The record is from RNAcentral.
CGGGACGGGUGAGUAACGCGUGGAUAACCUGCCUCACACUGGGGGAUAACAGUUAGAAAUGACUGCUAAUACCGCAUAAGCGCACAGUACCGCAUGGUACGGUGUGAAAAACUCCGGUGGUGUGAGAUGGAUCCGCGUCUGAUUAGCCAGUUGGCGGGGUAACGGCCCACCAAAGCGACGAUCAGUAGCCGACCUGAGAGGGUGACCGGCCACAUUGGGACUGAGACACGGCCCAA